AUUGAACGCUGGCGGCAUGCCUUACACAUGCAAGUCGAACGGCAGCACGGGUGCUUGCACCUGGUGGCGAGUGGCGAACGGGUGAGUAAUACAUCGGAACAUUUCCUGUAGUGGGGGGUAGCCCGGCGAAAGCCGGAUUAAUACCGCAUACGAACCACGGAAGAAAGCGUGGGACCCUCGGACCUCGCGCGAUAGGGUUGGCCGAUAGCGGAUUAGCUAGUUGGGGGGGUAAAGGCCUACAAAGGCGAGGAUCAGUAGCUGGUCUGUGAGGACGAGCACCGGCCCGAGGAGGGAGACACGGCCCAGAGUCCUGAGGGAGGCAGCAGAGGGGAAUUGGGGGCAGUGGGCGAAAGCAUGAUCCAGCAAGGCCGCGUGUGUGAAGAAGGCCUUCGGGUUGGAAAGCACUUUUGUGCGGUAAGAAAUCCUUGGCUCUAGGACAGUCGGGGGAUGACGGUACCGGAAGAAUAAGCACCGGCUAACUACGUG
This 486-nucleotide ribosomal RNA is filed under the name uncultured bacterium. RNAcentral describes it as "partial 16S ribosomal RNA". It matches the Rfam family "Bacterial small subunit ribosomal RNA", at positions 29 to 507 of the family's 1533-position model. The record is from RNAcentral.